UAGGGANUCUUCGGCAAUGGACGGAAGUCUGACCGAGCAACGCCGCGUGAGUGAAGAAGGUUUUCGGAUCGUAAAGCUCUGUUGUAAGAGAAGAACGAGUGUGAGAGUGGAAAGUUCACACUGUGACGGUAUCUUACCAGAAAGGGGCGGCUAACUACGUGCCAGCAGCCGCGGUAAUACGUAGGUCCCGAGCGUUGUCCGGAUUUAUUGGGCGUAAAGCGAGCGCAGGCGGUUAGAUAAGUCUGAAGUUAAAGGCUGUGGCUUAACCAUAGUACGCUUUGGAAACUGUUUAACUUGAGUGCAAGAGGGGAGAGUGGAAUUCCAUGUGUAGCGGUGAAAUGCGUAGAUAUAUGGAGGAACACCGGUGGCGAAAGCGGCUCUCUGGCUUGUAACUGACGCUGAGGCUCGAAAGCGUGGGGAGCAAACAGGAUUAGAUACCCUGGUAGUCCACGCCGUAAACGAUGAGUGCUAGGUGUUAGACCCUUUCCGGGGUUUAAUGCCGCAGCUAACGCAUUAAGCACUCCGCCUGGGGAGUACGACCGCANGGUUG
Molecule: ribosomal RNA, 550 nt
Filed under: uncultured bacterium
Lineage: Bacteria
Description: bacterial SSU rRNA
Rfam family: Bacterial small subunit ribosomal RNA
Source: RNAcentral